UUGGAGGGCAAGUCUGGUGCCAGCAGCCGCGGUAAUUCCAGCUCCAAUAGCGUAUAUUAAAGUUGUUGCAGUUAAAAAGCUCGUAGUUGAACCUCGGGGUCUACCCAUUGGUCAGGCUUAAUUGUCUGCACUGGUGAGAUGGAUCUCUACCUUCUGAGGAACUUUCAUGCCAUUUAUUUGGUGUGAUGGGAAAUCAGGACUGUUACUUUGAAAAAAUUAGAGUGUUUAAAGCAGACUAUCGUCUGAAUACAUUAGCAUGGAAUAAUGAAAUAGGACGGACUGAUUCUAUUUCGUUGGUUUCUAGGAUCACCGUAAUGAUUAAUAGGGAUAGUUGGGGGCAUUAGUAUUCAAUUGUCAGAGGUGAAAUUCUUGGAUUUAUUGAGGACUAACUACUGCGAAAGCAUUUGCCAAGGAUGUUUUCAUUAAUCAAGAACGAAAGUUAGGGGAUCGAAGACGAUCAGAUACCGUCGUAGUCUUAACCAUAAACUAUGCCGACUAGGGAUCGGACGAAGUUAAUUUUAUAAUGACGCGUUCGGCGCCUUACGGGAAAC
Molecule: ribosomal RNA, 551 nt
Filed under: uncultured Diversisporaceae
Lineage: Eukaryota; Fungi; Glomeromycota; Glomeromycetes; Diversisporales
Description: SSU rRNA
Rfam family: Eukaryotic small subunit ribosomal RNA
Source: RNAcentral